Parasteatoda tepidariorum (common house spider) is the source of this 443-nucleotide non-coding RNA. Lineage: Eukaryota; Metazoa; Arthropoda; Arachnida; Araneae; Theridiidae. The record is from RefSeq and is a predicted model, not a curated record.
UUUAUUACGCGUUCAUAACAUUUUCGUGUUUUAAUAACAUUUUCGUGCGUAUUUUAUAGACAUUUCAGAGUUAAUAAAUAUCCUAUUAAAGUUGUGAUUUUGAUAUCUCUCUCUUUAAAACAGAAUACAUCAAGGUUUAGACAAGGUUGCAUAUAAGGCAAUAUGAAGCUCUUCUACAUUUUAGUCUUAUUUUCGAUGAUCGCGGGAGCUUUAUCAGCAAUAGGUCCACCACCAUGUUUCUACUGGAGAGACGUCAAACAACACCCGGAAGCUGAUUGUAAAGAAAACGGAGAUUUUAAACCAAUUCAAUGUGAAGAUGGGAAGUGUCGUUGCGUUAACUUUUAUGGUCAAAAACUCACUGAGCCACAAGACGGAAAACCUGAUUGCUCCGGUACAAACUACAACAAAUACAUUGUUCAAUAAAAAUACAUAUUCAAUAUGAA